CUCCCUGGGACAGGCACCAUGCAGAACAUAGCAUGUCUGUUGUAAUAGACUGUUCCAGGCUGAAAGCCUCCAGAGAAGGGCCACGAGAAUGAUCCAUGAUCAGAGGACUGGAAGACCUGCAAUAGGAAGAAAGGCUGAGGAAACUGGAUUUGGUCAGCCUGGAGAAGAGAAGGCUUAGGGAAGGCCUUAUCACCAUGGAUCAGUACAUAAAGGAUGGCUACCAAGAGGAUGGAGGCUGCCUUUUUACAAGGAGUCACAUGGAAAAGAGAGACUCGUAGGAGUAAGAGAUAGCAGCUGAUGGAAUGCCCUGGAGAACAAAGGAAAAAACUGAUCAGGAACCAAGCAGCAGAGGAAGGGAACGUUCGGUUACAUCCCUCAGGAAACAAUGUCAGCCUCGCAGCCUGCUGAGCAGGCACGGCACAGCACGGACUAGCAGAAACCAGAGAUGGAGCUGGAUGACUCACCCAGAAACAAUCUCACACAGUGCACAGCUGGCAGGGACUGCUGCAGAGACGCCUGCCGGCCCCUGCAUCACCAUAUCGGCAGUUUGCAGAGGCUGAAGAGGCUGUGACAGAGCAAGUGAGAGCGAUGAUGACUUUGCUCCAUGUCAGCUAAAACGGAGACAAAGGAUGAACAACGUUCAGUGGAAAGCAGCUCUCCGGGUGUCAGGUGAAGAGGAGCACUUCCCCAGAGCAGCAGUGAGCCAUACAGAAGUGUAUCCAGUGACUUCAUGAGAACAGUGCAUUUCCCUGAAUUUUCAGGUAUUCAGGACGUUUAGAGAAGAGGCAGCAGCGCCGAGGCCUGACGUGCCGGCAGACAUCGCUGCAGUGCGGACGAUUAAACACAAGGCGGCAGCACUGAGGGGGCGGCGCAUACUGCUACAGCGCUGCAGUGCGGACGAUUAAACACAAGGCGGCAGCACUAACGGGGCGGCGCAUGCUGCUACAGCGCUGCAGUGUCCACAAUUAAACACAAGGCGGCAGCACUGAGCGAGCACGGAGGAGGCAUCUCCCGCCCCUCUAUGUGCGGGCAGCAGCUCAGCUGGGCUCAGUUUAGACUUUUUCCUAUUUAACAAUAAUAGUAAUAAAAACCGCGCAAAGGGAAACGCACUGUGGUUUAAUUUAUACACAUACACGUUAUUUUUAUAUUUAAAAUGCCUAUGUGGCUCUACUUAGGCUUUUAAUGCUAUUCUAAAAGCCUUUAUAUAACAGAGGCAAUACAGCCCCCUUCUCUAAGGCAGCACUCCCAUCUGCGGUUGGAUGACCUCCUCCCACCGACCCGUCCUUGGAAAGCUAGAAAGCUACUUUCUCAGCUGCUCUGUGUUUGGGAAGGUGUAGUCUGGCUCUAUUCUAAAGCAGGAAUGUGUUUUAAUCCUAGCCUAGAGUGUCACAGAGGAAAAAUCCAGCCCUCAAGGGCUACUGAGCAGCUUCCACCUUUAUACUCAGAACAAGAGAUGCAUGCCUCAAAAACACUCUGAAGGAAACGAUUUAGGUAAUAAAAGUGUUGCCCAUCACCAGUCAGCUCACUUUCAACAAGAAAAGGGGAUGUCUUAGCACAAAACUGAGGUUGCCUUAUCAGGCUCUAAGAAAUCUGUUUUGGUCUAAGCUCUCUACAAAUUGGAGAUUACAUUAUUAGGUUUAUUAGAAUCACAGAAUGAAGCAGGUUGGAAGAGACCUGCAAGCUCAUCCAGUCCAACCUAUCACCUAGCCAUAUCCAAUCAACUGGACCAUGGCACUAAGUGCCUCAUCCAGGCUUUUCUUGUUUGAGCUUGUGUGGUUUUUCAGUCAGUAUCCAUUGUCAGGCUGAAUUGUAUGAACUUACCUGUGUAGCUCUUAAUAAAAGACAACUAUUGAAAA
Long non-coding RNA from Pogoniulus pusillus (Red-fronted tinkerbird), 1856 nucleotides. RefSeq lists it as uncharacterized. The record is from RefSeq and is a predicted model, not a curated record. The transcript has 4 exons. NCBI's taxonomy places the organism in Eukaryota, Metazoa, Chordata, Aves, Piciformes, Lybiidae.